This 435-nucleotide long non-coding RNA is filed under the name Salmo salar (Atlantic salmon). RNAcentral describes it as "lncRNA (ENSSSAG00000103776.1, ENSSSAG00000106321.1)". Lineage: Eukaryota; Metazoa; Chordata; Actinopteri; Salmoniformes; Salmonidae. The record is from RNAcentral.
AGGUGUUGGGUUGUGUUCGGAGUCAGAUAGGCAUUGGGAGACAAAUAGGGGUGUUGUGGUGUGCUGGGAGACAUAGAGAGUUGUUGUGGUGUGUUUUGAGACAGGGAGUGUUGUUGUGGUGUGUUGUGAGACAUAGAGAGGAGUUUCGGUGUUGGGAGACAUAGAGAGUUGUUGUGGUGUGUUGGGAGACAGAGAGGGGUGUUGUGAGAAAUAGAGAGGUGUUGUGGUGUGUUGGGAGAAAGAGAGAGGUGUUGUGGUGUGUUGGGAGACAGAGAGAGAUUUUGUGUUGGGAGAAAGAGAGAGGUGUUGUGGUGUGUUGGGAGACAGGGAGAUGUGAUGGGUUGUGAUCGGAGACAGAUAGGCUUUGGGAGACAGAGAUAGGUGUUGUGGUGUGUUGGAGGACAUAUAGAGGGUUUGUGGUGUGUUUUGAGACGG